This 279-nucleotide ribosomal RNA is filed under the name uncultured Staphylococcus sp. RNAcentral's name for it is "partial 16S ribosomal RNA". It matches the Rfam family "Bacterial small subunit ribosomal RNA", at positions 83 to 356 of the family's 1533-position model. Lineage: Bacteria; Bacillati; Bacillota; Bacilli; Caryophanales; Staphylococcaceae. The record is from RNAcentral.
CCUUUGACGUUAGCGGCGGACGGGUGAGUAACACGUGGGUAACCUACCUAUAAGACUGGGAUAACUUCGGGAAACCGGAGCUAAUACCGGAUAAUAUUUCGAACCGCAUGGUUCGAUAGUGAAAGAUGGUUUUGCUAUCACUUAUAGAUGGACCCGCGCCGUAUUAGCUAGUUGGUAAGGUAACGGCUUACCAAGGCGACGAUACGUAGCCGACCUGAGAGGGUGAUCGGCCACACUGGGACUGAGACACGGUCCAGACUCCUACGGGAGGCAGCAGCG